RNAcentral lists this unclassified non-coding RNA (838 nucleotides) under Centruroides sculpturatus (bark scorpion). Its description in RNAcentral is "uncharacterized LOC111615862, transcript variant X1". The record is from RNAcentral. Lineage: Eukaryota; Metazoa; Arthropoda; Arachnida; Scorpiones; Buthidae.
GCCACUUUUUUUUUAAAUUGACAGUUAGGUUGAACGAUGUCCAGCAAUGAACUUGCUGGAUUUCUUGUAGAUUUCGGUUGGGGAAAGGGCAAAAUGUUUUUAUGAAAAGUACUGAAUAGAUUCAAAUUGUUUUCCGACGAGCUAAAUCUUUUUCGAAGAAAUCGAAGGAGACGUUUCAUUUGGCUGUUUUCUUGGUGUUCGUUUACUUCCCAUCGUCUUGGGAUCGGUUCGUAACUCGUCGCUACCAAAAAGAAGAGGAAAUAAAUAGGUGUAAUGCACGAAUCUUCGCUCGUUACUAGUGACGUAUUUCUGUUUUGGUUACAGAAAAAAUGUCGACAGAAGUUUUAUCUUACUCUGUUGAUAACCCACGAUUGUUUGCGUCCGAGAAGACACAGAGGUGAAGAUUGUGUUGUCAUUUCAGCCGUACGACAAAAUGAAUGCAAGCAUUUGGAAUUCUCGUCCACACAGGCAGAAUUAACAGUCUUGAUUAAAGGAGAAAAUCUCGUUAACGAUUUCACCAGAAAGAAAAAAAACAGAAGGAAGAUUUUAACGAAGCGGAAGAGGAGACUUCUCAGGUAACAUUUGAUGAUGUAUGGAAUUCUUCUCGUUCUCGUGGACUGUGGUAACAAGUAUUCUGGUAUUUUCUGUGUCUUCUUGUCUGAACUUUAUUAAAUUAAUUCACUACCCGUCAAUCAAAAACAUUCCUGUUAACUAAGUGAAGAAUAGUUUCCAGGAAAGCACAAGAAUAGUUGAUGGAUGUGUUGGACUUCUGUCGUUAACGGAACACUAAAAUUGAAGCCAGUGUUGUAAAAUCGUUACAAGAAUAUAUCAACAAGGA